Molecule: long non-coding RNA, 387 nt
Filed under: Pongo abelii (Sumatran orangutan)
Lineage: Eukaryota; Metazoa; Chordata; Mammalia; Primates; Hominidae
Description: lincRNA
Source: RNAcentral
AGAGGAGGAAGUUGAGCUCCGGUACGUGGAACUUGUCCAAGGUCACACAGCUGCAGGCACACUGGCACAGGGCCUGGCCAACUGUCUGUGGAGUUGAUCCAAACCAAUGCUAUGCUGGAAAUCACUCCUGGCUGCCCAAACGGAGACCCGGUGCCUCUGGUCAUGUCCACAUCUCGUCCAACGCUUCCGCCGCCACCAAGUCUGGAAAGAGCUGCUCUUAUCUCAGGCUACCCACUUCCACUCCACGCCCCUCCCUGUCCCAGCUCUUGGAAUGAGCGCCAGCUUCCUAGAAGUGGAGUGUACCUCAUUCCCGAACAGGCCCUCUGUCUGGAACGUGCCUCUUCUCGCUCCCUGAGUCAUCAAUAAAUCUGUCUCACUUUGUCCUGA